This 776-nucleotide ribosomal RNA is filed under the name uncultured Neocallimastigales. RNAcentral's name for it is "partial large subunit ribosomal RNA". It matches the Rfam family "Eukaryotic large subunit ribosomal RNA", at positions 24 to 641 of the family's 3401-position model. Lineage: Eukaryota; Fungi; Neocallimastigomycota; Neocallimastigomycetes; Neocallimastigales. The record is from RNAcentral.
UUAUGUGAUCGUCUCUCGCAUAUCAAUAAGCGGAGGAAAAGAAACUAACAAGGAUUCCCCUAGUAACGGCGAGUGAAGCGGGAAGAGCUCAAAUUUGAAAUCUUAAAGGGUUUCCCUUUACGAAUUGUAGUUUAAAGAAGUGUUUUCUGUUGAGGUUUUGGUAAAAGUUCUUUGGAAUAGGACAUCAUAGAGGGUGAGAAUCCCGUAUUUGACCUUUACUUUCAACUUUGUGAUACACUUUCAAAGAGUCGGAUUGUUUGGGAAUGCAGUCCAAAAUGGGUGGUAAAUUUCAUCUAAAGCUAAAUAUUGGCGAGAGACCGAUAGCGAACAAGUACCGUGAGGGAAAGAUGAAAAGAACUUUGAAAAGAGAGUUAAACAGUACGUGAAAUUGACAAAAGGGAAGCUGUUUGACACCAGUGUUGUUUUUCUGAAAAUCAAUUAAAGAACUGUUUAUGCUAAGUUGUUUAGACUUUAUCAGCUAACUGUUUAGUUUUGAGCUUUUCUUUAAUGCACUUUUCAGUUAACAAGUCAACAUCAAUUUCUUUUGCUGUAAAAAAGCUUGAGGAAGGUGGCUUGAGAUUCGUCUUAAGUGUUUAUAGCCUCUUGCCUAUGCAGUCGGAGAGAUUGAGGUCUGCAGCGUAGAUCCUUCGGGGCUAAAUGCAUUUGUGCUAAGUUAUAGCAUUUUAUAGACAACUUGUUGACUAUGAUUUGUCUUGUAGCUUACUCGCUUAUGUUAUUUUACCUACGCUUAGGAUGUUGACACACGCGCGUGCUCG